GACGAACGCUGGCGGCGUGCUUAACACAUGCAAGUCGAACGAUGAAGCCGGAGCUUGCUCUGGUGAAUUAGUGGCGAACGGGUGAGUAUCACGUGAGUAACCUGCCCUUGACUCUGGGAUAACUGCGGGAAACUGUAGCUAAUACCGGAUACGACCCUCGGAGGCAUCUCCUGGGGGUGGAAAGAAUUUCGGUCAAGGAUGGACUCGCGGCCUAUCAGCUAGUUGGUGAGGUAAAGGCUUACCAAGGCGACGACGGGUAGCCGGCCUGAGAGGGUGACCGGCCACACUGGGACUGAGACACGGCCCAGACUCCUACGGGAGGCAGCAGUGGGGAAUAUUGCACAAUGGGCGCAAGCCUGAUGCAGCAACGCCGCGUGAGGGAUGACGGCCUUCGGGUUGUAAACCUCUUUUAGCAGGGAAGAAGCGAAAGUGACGGUACCUGCAGAAAAAGCACCGGCUAACUACGUGCCAGCCGCCGCGGUAA
RNAcentral lists this ribosomal RNA (484 nucleotides) under uncultured bacterium. RNAcentral describes it as "partial 16S ribosomal RNA". It matches the Rfam family "Bacterial small subunit ribosomal RNA", at positions 28 to 523 of the family's 1533-position model. The record is from RNAcentral.